This 58-nucleotide non-coding RNA is filed under the name unclassified sequences. The record is from Rfam.
UAAAUUUGCACCCGUUCAACGGAACUACAUAAUAAUCAUUUACAACAAUAUUAGCAUG